UAACGCGUAGGAACCUAUCGCACAGUGGGGGAUAACACGGGGAAACCGGUGCUAAUACCGCAUGUGGUCAGAGAUGAAGAGAGCAGCAAUGCGCUGUGUGAGGGGCCUGCGUCCGAUUAGCUGGUUGGUGGGGUAACGGCCUACCAAGGCGACGAUCGGUAGCUGGUCUGAGAGGAUGAUCAGCCACACUGGGACUGAGACACGGCCCAG
This 210-nucleotide ribosomal RNA is filed under the name uncultured bacterium. RNAcentral's name for it is "partial 16S ribosomal RNA". It matches the Rfam family "Bacterial small subunit ribosomal RNA", at positions 111 to 334 of the family's 1533-position model. The record is from RNAcentral.